RNAcentral lists this ribosomal RNA (67 nucleotides) under Anopheles peditaeniatus. Its description in RNAcentral is "partial 5.8S ribosomal RNA". Lineage: Eukaryota; Metazoa; Arthropoda; Insecta; Diptera; Culicidae. The record is from RNAcentral.
GAACAUUGAUAAGUUGAACGCAUAUUGCACGUCGUGGGAACCUACCAUGAUGUACACAUACCUGAGU